This 441-nucleotide ribosomal RNA is filed under the name uncultured bacterium. Its description in RNAcentral is "partial 16S ribosomal RNA". It matches the Rfam family "Bacterial small subunit ribosomal RNA", at positions 338 to 795 of the family's 1533-position model. The record is from RNAcentral.
CCUACGGGAGGCUGCAGUGGGGAAUAUUGCACAAUGGGGGAAACCCUGAUGCAGCGACGCCGCGUGAGUGAAGAAGUAUUUCGGUAUGUAAAGCUCUAUCAGCAGGAACGAGACAAGACGGUAGCUGACUAAGAAGCGCCGGCUAACUACGUACCAGCAGGCGCGGUAAUACGUAGGGGGCGAGCGUUAUCCGGAUUCACUGGGUGUAAAGGGAGCGUAGACGGCCGUGCAAGCCAGGAGGGAAAGCCCGGGGCCCAAACCCGGGACUGCUGUUGGAACUGUGCGGCUAGAGUGCGGGAGGGGCAGGCGGAAUGCCUGGUGUAGCGGUGAAAUGCGUAGAUAUCAGGAGGAACACCGGCGGCGAAGGCGGCCUGCUGGACCGCGACUGACGUUGAGGCUCGAAAGCGUGGGGAGCGAACAGGAUUAGAUACCCGUGUAGUC